RNAcentral lists this non-coding RNA (30 nucleotides) under Homo sapiens (human). The record is from RNAcentral. Lineage: Eukaryota; Metazoa; Chordata; Mammalia; Primates; Hominidae.
UCCCCAUGUGACCCACUCUCUGUCAGAAUU